Pantherophis guttatus is the source of this 177-nucleotide non-coding RNA. The record is from RefSeq and is a predicted model, not a curated record. Lineage: Eukaryota; Metazoa; Chordata; Lepidosauria; Squamata; Colubridae.
UUGCUCAGAACUGGAUACCACCUGUGAGCUGAUUAAGGCCAUAGCUUGUUGGCCUAUCCAGAAUGAAUUUGUGAUGAUUAUGGGAAUGUAUGCUGCUCAGAGUUAGUCACGAUUGGAACAACAUAUAAGUCCUGGGAAUAAAUAAAUACAUAAAUAAUAAAACCCAUUACUAAUCCA